AGCGAACGUUGGCGGCAGGCUUAACACAUGCAAGUCGAACGCAUCCUUCGGGGUGAGUGGCAGACGGGUGAGUAACACGUGGGAACGUACCCUUCGAUCUGGGAUAACUUCGGGAAACUGGAGCUAAUACCGGAUACGCCCUUUUGGGGAAAGGUUUACUGUCGAAGGAUCGGCCCGCGUCUGAUUAGCUAGUUGGUGGGGUAACGGCCUACCAAGGCGACGAUCAGUAGCUGGUCUGAGAGGAUGAUCAGCCACACUGGGACUGAGACACGGCCCAGACUCCUACGGGAGGCAGCAGUGGGGAAUAUUGGACAAGGGGCGCAAGCCUGAUCCAGCCAUGCCGCGUGAGUGAUGAAGGCCUUAGGGUUGUAAAGCUCUUUUGUCCGGGACGAUAAUGACGGUACCGGAAGAAUAAGCCCCGGCUAACUUCGUG
This 433-nucleotide ribosomal RNA is filed under the name uncultured bacterium. Its description in RNAcentral is "partial 16S ribosomal RNA". It matches the Rfam family "Bacterial small subunit ribosomal RNA", at positions 29 to 507 of the family's 1533-position model. The record is from RNAcentral.